Molecule: long non-coding RNA, 1275 nt
Filed under: Capra hircus (goat)
Lineage: Eukaryota; Metazoa; Chordata; Mammalia; Artiodactyla; Bovidae
Description: lncRNA (ENSCHIG00010001499.1)
Source: RNAcentral
UGGCUGAGCUCUGAAGGGUAUGUCAUGAACUCUGAGCAUGGUACUUAACCCCCUACCUCAGACUUGCACCCUAGUCUGAUUUCACUGCCUGAAUUCCAUGUUUUAGUUCCCAUUAAAUCACCUGUCACACUUACUUGCCAUUUUUUGUUUAAUUGUCUGGUUCCCUGCUAGACUGUAACCUCUGUGAGGGCAGCGAUUGCAUCUGCUUUAUUCACUGCUAUAUCCUUAAUACCUAGCAUGGUGUUUGGCGCACUGAAGGAGUUCAGUAAAAAAAAAAAUAAUGAUAAUGAGUAGAAAUGGUAUUUCUAAAGAAUAUCUGCAAUCAUAACCAUGCAUUAAGGUGAAUUUUCUUAUGGUUGGACUAGUCCAUCUUUUUCUUUCUUUUAUUUUUUUAAGUCCAUUGUUUUAGAAAUAGGAAAGAAAAUUUUCUUUUAGUCUGCUUUCCAGCUUUUGGAUUCUUAUGUUAUCAUUGCUUUGCCAUAAUGCUAGUUUUCAAUUAGUGCUGAUUUCUUCUUUAGAUUCAACUAACAUCCAACUGCAAUGUGCUGGACGGCUCCAUGAAGUCUUUCAUAUAUGUUUGCUAAUUUAAAUUGAGAUAACUUUUUUUUGAGGGUUUCGGCCUCAGCUGUACAACCAAGACACCUGACUGACUUGCACAAGAUCAGACUUUGCGGUUUAGUCAUGUUUGUAGUCUUGGUGACACUGGAAAACAACACAGCUGACUCACGCCCUCGCAGGAGCUGUUAUUACCUAAACUUAGGUACAGGAUACAGCGGUGCAAACCACACCCAAGAGGCAUCCCAUCUCUAUAAAGUGGACUGCUACUGGAGGUUCACAGAGGCUCCCUAACUAGACGGAUCCUUUUCCAAGAUGAUCUACGUCCUUUUUUUCCCCCACCCCCUGACCCCAGUACAAGUACCCUGUGUAGAUUCAUGUAAUUAAUCUGUAAAUGUUAUUGUUUAAUGUAUUAUUGACUAAUACUCUGUAAAUGUCAAUGAACAUUUAUUCUACAGUACAUUGCUAAAUAGUUUUUGUAACUGUGGUUUUUGAGCCCAGCCAGUACCGUGCUUUUGUAAUUGUGUGUCAGAAUUUUUUUUUUUUUUUCCUGGGAAGCUGGAACUGAAUCAUUUUCAGGACUUACAUAGAACCUAGUCUGUCAUCUUUAGUCCAAGAUUAAACAAACCAUGUAUACUCUUGUGGCCUAUGUGAUACAAAGUAUGAAAGAGUUAUCAAAACACCCCCUGAGUGGCUCACUGCAGCCCAGGAAUGUUUACC